RNAcentral lists this transfer RNA (77 nucleotides) under Chloroflexota bacterium. RNAcentral's name for it is "tRNA-Val". It matches the Rfam family "tRNA". Rfam says of the family: Transfer RNA (tRNA) molecules are approximately 80 nucleotides in length. Their secondary structure includes four short double-helical elements and three loops (D, anti-codon, and T loops). The record is from RNAcentral. Lineage: Bacteria; Bacillati; Chloroflexota. RNAcentral also lists the same sequence under 1 other name.
GGGCGGUUAGCUCAGCCGGUUAGAGCGCCACUCUUACAAAGUGGAGGCCGGAGGUUCAAGUCCUCCACCGCCCACCC